This 727-nucleotide ribosomal RNA is filed under the name Staphylococcus equorum. Its description in RNAcentral is "bacterial SSU rRNA". It matches the Rfam family "Bacterial small subunit ribosomal RNA", at positions 57 to 765 of the family's 1533-position model. Lineage: Bacteria; Bacillati; Bacillota; Bacilli; Caryophanales; Staphylococcaceae. The record is from RNAcentral.
GCAGUCGAGCGAACGGAUAAGGAGCUUGCUCCUUUGAAGUUAGCGGCGGACGGGUGAGUAACACGUGGGUAACCUACCUAUAAGACUGGAAUAACUUCGGGAAACCGGAGCUAAUGCCGGAUAACAUUUGGAACCGCAUGGUUCUAAAGUAAAAGAUGGUUUUGCUAUCACUUAUAGAUGGACCCGCGCCGUAUUAGCUAGUUGGUAAGGUAACGGCUUACCAAGGCAACGAUACGUAGCCGACCUGAGAGGGUGAUCGGCCACACUGGAACUGAGACACGGUCCAGACUCCUACGGGAGGCAGCAGUAGGGAAUCUUCCGCAAUGGACGAAAGUCUGACGGAGCAACGCCGCGUGAGUGAUGAAGGUUUUCGGAUCGUAAAACUCUGUUAUUAGGGAAGAACAAAUGUGUAAGUAACUGUGCACAUCUUGACGGUACCUAAUCAGAAAGCCACGGCUAACUACGUGCCAGCAGCCGCGGUAAUACGUAGGUGGCAAGCGUUAUCCGGAAUUAUUGGGCGUAAAGCGCGCGUAGGCGGUUUCUUAAGUCUGAUGUGAAAGCCCACGGCUCAACCGUGGAGGGUCAUUGGAAACUGGGAAACUUGAGUACAGAAGAGGAAAGUGGAAUUCCAUGUGUAGCGGUGAAAAUGCGCAGAGAUAUGGGAGGAACACCAGUGGCGAAGGCGACUUUCUGGUCUGUAACUGACGCUGAUGUGCGAAAGCGUGGG